Molecule: ribosomal RNA, 466 nt
Filed under: uncultured cyanobacterium
Lineage: Bacteria; Bacillati; Cyanobacteriota
Description: bacterial SSU rRNA
Rfam family: Bacterial small subunit ribosomal RNA
Source: RNAcentral
GAGUUUGAUUCUGGCUCAGGAUGAACGCUGGCGGUCUGCUUAACACAUGCAAGCGAACGGAAUCCUUCGGGAUUUAGUGGCGGACGGGUGAGUAACACGUGAGAAUCUGCACCAGGAUGGGGACAACAGCGGGAAACUGCUGCUAAUACCCAAUGUGCCGAAAGGUGAAAGUUUAUCGCCUGAGAAUGAGCUCGCGGCCGAUUAGUUAGUUGGUGGGGUAAAGGCCUACCAGACGGCGAUCGGUAGCUGGUCUGAGAGGAUGAGCAGCCACACUGGGACUGAGACACGGCCAGACUCCUACGGGAGGCAGCAGUGGGGAAUUUUCCGCAAUGGGCGCAAGCCUGACGGGCAAGACCGCGUGGGGGAGGAAGGCUCUUGGGUUGUAAACCCCUUUUCUCAAGGAAGAAAAAAUGACGGUACUUGAGGAAUCAGCCUCGGCUAACUCCGUGCCAGCAGCCGCGGUAAU